UUGGUUAGAUUUCAAAAACUAGCCGUUACUUGCUGUUGGGAGGACAAAAAGUACUUCUGCAGAACUAGCCGUUAUGCUUCUGCCCGUGCUGGGGUCGACCCAAACUUUCCUGGGGUCGACUCAAACCACUGUUCAUCAGACUUGGGGUCGACUCAACUUUCACUGGGGUCGACCCAACUUUCACUGGGGUCGCACUCAUGCUAUAUUGGGGUCGGCCCUCUCAGAAAAUACAGAACCUUACAUUUCAGCCGUUUUUCACUUGGGUCGACUUAACUCUUUUUGGUCUCGACUCAAGGUUCAGUUGGGUCGACUCAAGUUCCAUUGGGGUCAACCCUCUCAGGGAUUCCAGAGAACCAGUUUUUGAAUGACACAGCCUUUGGGUCGACUCAUGUUCAGUUUGGGUCGACUCAAGGUGGGGUCGACUCAAGUUCCAUUGGGGUCGACCCUCUCAGGGAUUCUAGAGACUUGUUUUCUUGAGGCUUGAAGAUGGGGUCGACUCAACUUUUACUUGGGUCGACCCAUGUACUGUUCAUCCAUGCCAUUUUUGCAGAAGUGUGCCAAAUAGUUCCUUGAUAUGCCGGAGUCGACUCCACCAAUCUUGGGGUCGUUUCAUUCCACACUUUGCUGCAACUUAGGGUUAGAUUCAUCCAUAUAAUCAAUGAAAUAUACUUCAAGCAAUUUUGAAUAUAUGUCAUGGUAGUGCUACAUACUCUUAACAAUGAAAAUUACUAUCAUCUCCUUGAGAGUACGUUUUACUUGAAACUUUGCCGAAUUAGAAUUUAGAAUUCACUAUCCCUUUUUUUUAAUCGCAAAUUUUAUCUUAUUAUGAAUCAAUGAAAUACAUCUUGAUCUCAUUCUACUAAUGUACCGAGAGUGACGAACUUAGUAAUGAUG
RNAcentral lists this long non-coding RNA (894 nucleotides) under Phoenix dactylifera (date palm). Its description in RNAcentral is "long non-coding RNA (PDAC_LNC014277)". Lineage: Eukaryota; Viridiplantae; Streptophyta; Magnoliopsida; Arecales; Arecaceae. The record is from RNAcentral.